UGAGGAAUAUUGGUCAAUGGGCGGAAGCCUGAACCAGCCAUGCCGCGUGAAGGAAGAAGGUCCUAUGGAUUUUAAACUUCUUUUGUCGGAGAGCAAUAAGGGUCUCGUGAGAUCCGAUGAGAGUAUCCGACGAAUAAGCAUCGGCUAACUCCGUGCCAGCAGCCGCGGUAAUACGGGGGUGCGAGCGUUAUCCGGAUUUAUUGGGUUUAAAGGGUGCGUAGGCGGUCCGGUAAGUCAGCCGUGAAAAGCCCCCGCUCAACGGGGGUCGUGCGUUUGAUACUGUUGGACUGGAAUGCGGAUGCCGUGGGAGGAAUGUGUGGUGUAGCGGUGAAAUGCAUAGAUAUUGCGCAGAACUCCGAUUGCGAAGGCAGCGUACCGGCGCCCGACUGACGCUGAGGCACGAAAGCGUGGGGAUCGAACAGGAUUAGAUACCCUGGUAGU
This 441-nucleotide ribosomal RNA is filed under the name uncultured bacterium. Its description in RNAcentral is "bacterial SSU rRNA". It matches the Rfam family "Bacterial small subunit ribosomal RNA", at positions 355 to 794 of the family's 1533-position model. The record is from RNAcentral.